RNAcentral lists this ribosomal RNA (467 nucleotides) under uncultured bacterium. RNAcentral's name for it is "partial 16S ribosomal RNA". It matches the Rfam family "Bacterial small subunit ribosomal RNA", at positions 29 to 507 of the family's 1533-position model. The record is from RNAcentral.
ACGAACGCUGGCGGCGUGCUUAACACCUGCCAGUCGCACGGAAAGGCCCUGCUUUUGUGGGGUGCUCGAGUGGCGAACGGGUGAGUAACACGUGAGUAACCUGCCCUUGACUUUGGGAUAACUUCAGGAAACUGGGGCUAAUACCGGAUAGGAGCUCCUGCUGCAUGGUGGGGGUUGGAAAGUUUCGGCGGUUGGGGAUGGACUCGCGGCUUAUCAGCUUGUUGGUGGGGUAGUGGCUUACCAAGGCUUUGACGGGUAGCCGGCCUGAGAGGGUGACCGGCCACAUUGGGACUGAGAUACGGCCCAGACUCCUACGGGAGGCAGCAGUGGGGAAUAUUGCACAAUGGGCGGGAGCCUGAUGCAGCAACGCCGCGUGCGGGAUGACGGCCUUCGGGUUGUAAACCGCUUUCGCCUGUGACGAAGCGUGAGUGACGGUAAUGGGUAAAGAAGCACCGGCUAACUACGUG